UGCAUAUCAUUCAUAUUGCUGUUGAGAUGGCCCCAAUUGCAAAGGUAAGCUUAACCUAUUUGCAUGGAGCUUUAAAUUGGUUAUUCUAGGAAAUCAUAAAUAAGAGGUUGCCUUGUGUAUAGCUGAUCUUCAAUUUUAAGAUUUCCGCAUCCCAUUUUUUCCCUUACAUUAUGAUUUAUGAUCUGUUAUUUCACUUGUUAUGUAUGCUAACAUUUUAAUUUUUAGAAGGUUGAUUCAUUGUUGUUAUGAUCUCCAAUUAUUUUCAAUGAUCGUAAGAUAUUUCAACUUAUAGUACUCAUACUUAAGCUAUGGAACGCAGACUGAGUUAAGAUGGCCACUUAGGUCUUGCAGCUAAAUUUUAUUAAACACAACAUAAUAAUAUAUAGUAUGUAAACUAAAUUCUUUCUUUGUAAUUAUGUUUGUGUCCAUGUAGAGUAUUUCCUCAAAAUUUAUGGAAGCGUUCGAUAAUCGGCCUCUCAGUAAGAUUAAAGGGACCGGUAAGAAUCGAUUUUGUACUCCAAGUUAUCAAUUUAAAUUCAUACUUGCUAAUUGUUUGUUGAAAAUGUAUAAUAGGACUUUUUAAGGCUGGUGCAUUCACUAAAUAUAUGGAAUGAAGUGACCUAAUACAAGUUGAUUUCUGCAAAAUAUAUUUUUGUUUCACCCUAAUAUUAGCUUGGGAUUUCAUUGNNNNNNNNNNGGAUACAAACUUUCUUUAUUAUAUCACCAAAUUUGACCUUAUGCAAUUUGUUUGAUAUUUUUUAUAAGGCAAACAUAUGUUUCAUCUUGUAGGAAUGCAUGAAAGGUUUUUGGGGCUCUUUAUUUUAUUUUUUUUAUAUAGACUAUUGAUUAAAAAUUAACUUGUUGAAUGCCUCAACUUUUGUGCAGGUAUGUAGUCAUGGUACCAAGAAUGUAUAUCAUGGAGCAUGUAGAUUAGAGGCUUCUAGUUUGAUACAUACAUGAUUUAAUUUAUUUUCUAUAGGAGGUUUAUUUAUUUUGUAAUACUGACUUUGAAGAAAAAAGCAUUUGUUAAAGCCUUGUUUAAUAUUAUGGAGCAUGUGUGCAUGUUUAAUUCUUUGUUGUGUAUACUGUUUUAGAGAUAAUUUAAAUUAGAUUUGAAAAAUUGUUUCAAGGGAUU
RNAcentral lists this long non-coding RNA (1135 nucleotides) under Trifolium pratense (red clover). RNAcentral's name for it is "long non-coding RNA (TPRA_LNC012162)". Lineage: Eukaryota; Viridiplantae; Streptophyta; Magnoliopsida; Fabales; Fabaceae. The record is from RNAcentral.